Molecule: non-coding RNA, 107 nt
Organism: Brassica napus (rape)
Lineage: Eukaryota; Viridiplantae; Streptophyta; Magnoliopsida; Brassicales; Brassicaceae
Source: Rfam
AAGCCAUGAUGUGGAAAUUGAGAUGCGUAGCCUAUGAAACUUUCAUAUGCUUCUCCAAAGCCUUCAAGAUUCUUCUGCUGAAACCCAGAGAUCUCAUUCCUAAGCUU